RNAcentral lists this ribosomal RNA (774 nucleotides) under uncultured Neocallimastigales. RNAcentral describes it as "partial large subunit ribosomal RNA". It matches the Rfam family "Eukaryotic large subunit ribosomal RNA", at positions 24 to 647 of the family's 3401-position model. Lineage: Eukaryota; Fungi; Neocallimastigomycota; Neocallimastigomycetes; Neocallimastigales. The record is from RNAcentral.
GUAGUCUCGCACAGAUGCAUAUCAAUAAGCGGAGGAAAAGAAACUAACAAGGAUUCCCCUAGUAACGGCGAGUGAAGCGGGAAGAGUUCAAAUUUGAAAUCUUAAAGGGUUUCCCUUUACGAAUUGUAGUUUAAAGAAGUGUUUUCUGUUGAGGUUUUGGUAAAAGUUCUUUGGAAUAGGACAUCAUAGAGGGUGAGAAUCCCGUAUUUGACCUUUACUUUCAACUUUGUGAUACACUUUCAAAGAGUCGGAUUGUUUGGGAAUGCAGUCCAAAAUGGGUGGUAAAUUUCAUCUAAAGCUAAAUAUUGGCGAGAGACCGAUAGCGAACAAGUACCGUGAGGGAAAGAUGAAAAGAACUUUGAAAAGAGAGUUAAACAGUACGUGAAAUUGUCAAAAGGGAAGCGUUUGACACCAGUGUUGUUUUUCUGAAAAUCAAUUAAAGAACUGUUUAUGCUAAGCUGUUUAGACUUUAUCAGCUAUCUGUUUAGUUUUGAGCUUUUCUUUAAUGCACUUUUCAGUUAACAAGUCAACAUCAAUUUCUUUUGCUGUAAAAAAGCUUGAGGAAGGUGGCUUGAGAUUCGUCUUAAGUGUUUAUAGCCUCUUGCCUAUGCAGUCGGAGAGAUUGAGGUCUGCAGCGUAGAUCCUUCGGGGCUAAAUGCAUUUGUGCUAAGUUAUAGCAUUUUAUAGACAACUUGUUGACUAUGAUUUGUCUUGUAGCUUACUCGCUUAUGUUAUUUUACCUACGCUUAGGAUGUUGAUCUGUAGUGCGUGCGC